CUGGGGUGGAAGCGGCUAACGUUGACACAGGCUGCGUCGCAGCCUCGCCUCGGGGGCCGGAAGCGCCCGCCACGUCCUCCUUCCCUUCUCGAGGACGCUUCCCAGACGGGUCCCCACAGCAGACGACAGUGCCCGGAGGGGAGCCCGCGGCUCCUCGGCACGCGCCCCUCCUCCGCGCGGGGUUCUCACGCACAGCCUCUCCUGCCAUCAUCACAUCUGUUUUCACGACGGGACUGCUAUUUACUUGUCACCGUCUUCCUCCCCUGGAGUAGAACCACCACCUUCGGGAGGAACAUGUCUGCCUGCUGACCAGGGAGCAGACACUCGGUACAGGUCUGCUGGGCAAAUAAACGAAUCCCCUUGAACCUGUAUGAAGAAAGACCAUGAGGGCAUAACAACUUCUAAGACUCCUCGGAGGGCACUACAAGUAUCCCACUCCUGACCUGUGGACUGGGUAGCAGGAAGGUAAGGAUUGGGGGGGGGGGCGAGGGUGUGUGUGUGAGAGAGACAGUGUGUGAGUGUGUGACUGUGUGAGAGGUGUGUGAGGAGUAUGGGUAGGUGUUGAAGGACGUGAGGGUGUGUGAGAGAGCGCGUGUGUGAGAGAGCGCGUGUGUGAGAGACGGAGUGUGUGAGAGGAGGCAUGGGAGAGGUGGGAGACAACACACGCCAAGAGAUGAAGAGGGCCCGCCUGCGUGAUACGGGCACUGCUGUUUUCAGGCAAACGCAAAUUCUGAAGGAUCUCACUUGGAAGCCCACGCUGAGUUCAGGCAGUGUGAUGAGUGUUGUGCACAACCUGGGAAAGGGAAGGGACGCAGGUGCCCACAGGAGUCUGCCUGCUCAAGCAGCCGGGGACCUCAGCGCCUCCUUGCAAAGCUGGCCUCUCAGAGCCCAGCGUGGCUCGGGCCAGAGAAGAGGGCUGGCUGCCAUUUAUUCGCCACCCAAACAACCAAGAGAGAAAAGCAGGUAACUAGAUUUCUUUCCCUCUGGAUUUUGAUUUUAGCAGAAAGAGACAGACUACAAACGACCGAACAAUGAUCUGGCAUUGAUUCACAGAGACAACUGGGUCACCUGGGCCUUCGUAGUCUCCAGGUACAGCAUCCCUUCCUGUCGGGGCCACCACAUGGGGUUCAAGGACACCUAUGGUACCUAGUCCUCUACUUAGAGCACCAAAAGGAUGCCAGGUGUCAAGUACAUGCGUGGUGUUCUAAUUCUUUAACCUGAGUUGCUCUGUGGCUGAUCCACCUACAUGGUGACAUCAGAGCAAGUAGUGAGCUCCCCCAGCACUGGACCGGCUGGGUUCAAGUCAACGUUCUUCAUUCCCCAGGGCACAUUCAACACAACUGUACUCGCUCCACCACUGUGCACACUCAGCGCCUGCCCUGGGCAAGAGGCUCUCUGACCCGGUGAAUAUGUUUGGCUAGAAAUGCCCUAAAGUUAACUUUGUAAAAGGGGGAGAAAGAUAUUCAUGGUAGGAAAAUAAAAUUCACGGUUUUGUUUCUUUCAAAAAAAUAAAGUCUUCUUACCUAAUGACAAGUACUACAAAA
Molecule: long non-coding RNA, 1544 nt
Organism: Felis catus (domestic cat)
Lineage: Eukaryota; Metazoa; Chordata; Mammalia; Carnivora; Felidae
Exons: 2
Source: RefSeq, a predicted model, not a curated record